GCAGGUGUCCUAAGAUGAGCUC
RNAcentral lists this non-coding RNA (22 nucleotides) under Arabidopsis thaliana (thale cress). Lineage: Eukaryota; Viridiplantae; Streptophyta; Magnoliopsida; Brassicales; Brassicaceae. RNAcentral also lists the same sequence under 1 other name. The record is from RNAcentral.